Molecule: non-coding RNA, 2498 nt
Organism: Electrophorus electricus (electric eel)
Lineage: Eukaryota; Metazoa; Chordata; Actinopteri; Gymnotiformes; Gymnotidae
Source: RefSeq, a predicted model, not a curated record
UUUCGAUGGACCACAGUAACGCGAUUAUGAAAGCCCUGCUUUUCCUCGCGGUUAUUUAUCCGGCAUUAGCAGGCACGUUACCUUUUUGGGAAGCAUACCGGAAGGACCCCAGAGAGGCAGGCCUUUCUUCCUCAUUCCGGGAGGUCUCCCAGGUGGGAAGUUCCUGGCCCACCUUGUGCUGGGUGGGCUCCGGGCAAUGCCAUGCCUUGUCUGUGUGUGUUCACGGCAGCCUGGAGUGAACUAUCCUGGAAGGGAAAGCAUCAGGAACCACGCCCCCAGGGAAGGGUUGUCUUUGAGGAAUGCUCCCUCCACACCCUUCACUUGGAGCAUGCCUCCUUUGUUGGUCAUUGUCGCUACAAAAUUACACUCUAUAUUACAUCUGCAUUGCAGUUAGUUCAAGAACAGAUUUCCGAGAUUGCAGUGGUGUUAUUCGGGUGGAUGGUAAGUGUAUAAAGAGCAUUACAGCUAAUGAGCCACUACUGGACUACUGGAAAAGGACUCAGAUUCACCAGAGAAUUCAGGAGAUCUUCAAAGACAUUGAGGCUACUGGAAUGGGACGCUUUAUUCAGACUGAAGGCUUUAAUCCUGUUUCAGGAAACCCCACUGCACGUUUUACAGCCUCUGGCGAUGAAUCAUCGAUCACCAGCUCCCGUGAUUGCAGAAUUGAAAUAAGACCGUCACCAUCUGAGUAUGACAUCCAACUUCUCCCACGAAUGUUACAUGGUGUUUGCACGAGUUUGCACUGAUGGUGAUGGAGCCGAGCAGAUCUGCAUGAGAGACAAGGAAGCAUUAAACAUGUACGAGCUCUUUCAUGUUCGGAACCUCCUUCACCACAAUGCCUACCAGCACAGGGUUGUAAAGGCAGUUGAACUCAUGAUUUUAGAUGUACUCACAGCAUCUGAUGAGAUCUUUGAGUUUUCUGCUGCAGUAAAGGACCCCAAAGCUUACCUGAAUCUCACAGAUUGUGUUCUUCGGGAAAUCCUGAACUCAAUAAACAAAGGCAUUGUACAAGCACAGAAAAUUAUAAAGAGAAUUUUUGAGAGCAAACUCUACAGGUUUAUUGAAGGGAAAACAUUUCAGACUCAAGUCACAUGGUCACUUGGACAUGGUUGAACUUCUGAAAACCUGGUUGGACAAAAUCCAGGGACAACCUGGUGGCUCGCAGCUCUCUGCAGAUGACUUUGCAGUGAAGGAAACCACCCAGCCAGUUCCUGGCUCCAUUGUGAGAGAUGCCGCCUGGCCAUUUCCCGCCUCUAGCGCGAGAGACGCCGCCCGUCCUGACCCAGUUCCACUCCCCGGCACGAGAGACGCCAGCCGUCCUGAGCCUGUUCCCAGUUCCCAGCAUACUGGAUGCCGCCAGUUCUGUUCCUGUUUCCGGCAUAAUGGAUGUGCCACUUCUGUUUCGUGUGUCACUCCAUUCCUGUAGUGGUGCAGCCCCGCCUCUGGACCCCCCAGACCCGCCGCCGCUGAAUGCCACGUCACCGGACCUGCCAGUUCCUGUUUCUGGAGUGGAAGAAGCCACUCCACAAGUCCCCGUCCCUCGUACCAGGCCAUUCCCUGUGGUUUCUCCUCGAGACUCCACUGUGCCCCUAAAUGCUAAUACCAUGUGCCUCCUAAGACGCUUAGGACUCCUUCGGCAACACCUCGCAGCAAGCCAGUGACUCUUAAGCCCUCUCUGUCGGCCUCACGGACCCCUACGACUCCUAUUUCUACACCUUAUAUAUCUCCUCUGCUCCUUCAGACUGCAGCGCCAGACCCCAUUACUGCCCCCUUGUCUGCUUCUGUGUCUUCAGUUCCUGUGUUGCCUACUCCUGUUCCUGGUUUUGUCCUUGUCCCUGUUCAUGUGUCUAUUCCCAUUUGUGUGAAGAUUGUCCGUCCUGUUACUCUGCCUUGUGGUAUUGUUGUUGCCGUACCUGUACCCGUUCCCGUCCCAGUACCUGUACCAUGCCUGCCGUGUAUUUUGUUCCUGUGUCCAUCUCUGUCAUAGUUCACAUCAUGUCCUCUGUUUUUACCUCUUCCCCCGUGCGUGACACCAGUUUUUCUCCUCUCCUCUCUCUGCUUGUCUCUGUGCUCAUCUCGAAUUCCGACCGGGUCUCCAGUGACUCCUUUUCCCCAUCAGGCUCCUGUCCUUUGGUCUGUCCCUACUGCACUGCCUGUCCACGGUUUAACCCUGAGACCGACACAUAUCCCUGGUCCUGUCGCAUUCCAUGUCCGCAGUCCUGCCCUGUCUCCUAUGCCUGUUUGUAAUCCUACCCCUGGCCCGGCUUCUACUUCUCUGUUUACUCCCUGUGUCCCCUCAGCUGUUUCCUGUCCUGCCUCGUCAUCCCUAGCUCCUCCUUUUAUUCCGGUCCCUGCAUCGUGUAGCCCUUUUGUUCCAACUCCCUGUCUUGCCUGAACUCCCACCCCUGUUCCACCCUCUGGUAUUAUGCUUGUUUUUGUUCUUGUUCCUGUUCCUGUGUCCGUUCUGGUACCCUUGUCUGUUUUUGUUCCUGUCCCUU